Molecule: long non-coding RNA, 4484 nt
Organism: Astatotilapia calliptera (eastern happy)
Lineage: Eukaryota; Metazoa; Chordata; Actinopteri; Cichliformes; Cichlidae
Source: Ensembl
UCAAGAUCAUCAACUUUACAAUAUUUGUAUAACUGUUUUUCCAGGACAUUUAAGAAAAGGCAAAGUUGUCUUUCCACUCUUGCCAUGGGGUGCUUCUAAAAUUUGGGCCGGGUCGCGGGGUCAGCAGCCUAAGCAGAGAAGCCCAGACCUCCCUCUCCCCAGCCAUCUCCUCCAGCUUAUCCGGGGGAACACCAAGGAGUUCCCAGGCCAGCCGAGAAAUAUAAUCUCUCCAGCGUGUCCUGGGUCUGCCCCGGGGCCUUUUGUUAUUUAUUUACAGGUUAUUUAUUUACUAUUUCUGAACUGUAAAACAAAGUGCUACUAUUAACCCUAUGGCAGGACCAGGACCACUGGCUAAACCCCCUACCCUGACUGGUAAUUGUCCAGUCAUACUUCUGCAUCUGUAAAUAGACACAUUUUGAGCUUUGGCAACAGAUAAAAGAUGGGUGUAGCUACUGUAGUAUCACCUGUUGGUUUCUGAAUGUUUCUGCCAUCGUUACCUUGGUUGCAAAAAUCCAGAUGUGACAAAGAGGGCAGAAGGCUCACUGGGCUAAUUACUUGUGAUUGGCAGCUCAUUAGCUAAUGGUUGUUCAGUUUCAUACCACAGAUAACCCCCCAUUUUUAAACAUAGUAUGACCAAGAUAAAGAAAAAUAUAGGGUUAAUUUUUCACUCAGUAUCACUCAGAAUGAGUGACUGAGCCCAUAAAUUCAACAGGAAAGUGUUACAGAGGUCAAGGCACACAGCUCUUUUCCCCCACACUUUUGUAGGACUGUAAAUUUGCUUUUUUGUUUUCACAGAUUUAUCCCUCUGAUGGCCUUCAGACAGGGUUUCAGCCAUUUACGUAUUAGCUUAAUUGUUCUGAUAUGAAAGCUACGUCCAUGUUUUAUACUAUUUAUAGUCAUGCUCAUUAUUUAAAUGCACUUAAGAUAAUAAAAAAAAGAUUUAUUUGCCUGCAGUGUGUGUUUUUGGGUUUAGUCUUUUAGCAAGAGCAAGAUCAGCUAAUAGUUAGGACAGCAGUUUUUCAUUAAAAUGAUCAGGAAGGAAGCUGAAGACAGCAUUUUCAACCAAUUAGUGCUACUUACAAUAACAUCUUAGUUAAGCUAGCUGAGCUAGCUAGCUGCACCAGUUUUAAUCUGCUAAUUACAGUAGCAGUUGUAAAUGGUGAGCCCUGUUACCGUUUCUAACUUGUGAUCCAUUUGGUGUGACAUUUUGUCACACUGGCUACCGUUUAGCAGUAGUAUACAACGAAAGAUUGUAAAGAGACAUAUUUGAACCCAAACCAUGAAAUUUUCCUAAAUUAGGGAUGUUUGUGGCUAAUUGACAGGUUGCUAAAACAUAUUAUUAAUAUCUUUUUAGUGAACAACGACAAUUAUAUUAAUAAAAUGAUGCACUUUGAGUGGAAGCUGUAAAGGAGGAAAGGGGAAAGUAAAUAAAUGACAGCCAUGCUAACCUGCGCUGUCCUGCAACACUGCAAAAAGGUGCGGGGAGAUAGUUGUAUGUAAACCUUGUCAGAAUAAACUGAAACUAUAAUCAAGCAACUGAAGCCAGAUGUAUCCAUAUGGAAGAAACCAAGUCUACUACUGCUAGCGCUGCUAAGGUUAGCCAAACUAAGCAAAGUAAUCUGAGUGUGCAUGCUGCACAGCUUAGGAACAUUCAAAACAUGAUUUGAUUAACUAGGAACGUCAUUUUUAUAUAUGAUUUCUAAAACACACAAAUUUUUUGUUUUUGGCUCACGUUCAACUUCAUGUGCUCAGUUUAAAUGUUUUUAAACAUUAGUUGAAUAGUCUAAUAGGUAGCAAGUCAGUCACUAGAAAUAUCCCUAUCCCAAACCUCCAUCCAUCCAUCCAUCUUCAUCCGCUUUGUCCGGGGCCGGGUCUCCGGGGCAGCAGCCUAAGCAAAGAGGCCCAGACCUCCCUCUCCCCAGCCACCUCCUCCAGCUUGUCCGGGGGAAUACCAAGGCGUUCCCAGGCCAGCCGAGAGAUAUAAUCUCUCCAGCGUGUCCUGGGUCUGCCCCGGGGCCUCCUCCCGGUGGGACAUGCCUGGAACACCUCACCCAGGAGGCGCCCAGGGGGCAUCCUUGUCAAAUGCCCGAACCACCUCAGCUGGCUCCUUUCGAUGUGGAGCAGCAGCUGCUCUACUCUGAGCCCCUCCCGGAUGGCCGAACUUCUCACCCUAUCUCUAAGGGAGAGGCCAGCCACCCUUCGGAGGAAGCUCAUUUCUGCCGCUUGUAUCCGCGAUCUCGUUCUUUCGGUCACUACCCACAGCUCGUGGCCAUAGGUGAGGGUAGGGACGUAGAUCGACCGGUAAAUUGAGAGCUUCGCUUUUACACUCAGCUCCCUCUUCACCACGACGGACCGGUGCAGCGUCCGCAUUACUGCAGCUGCAGCCCCAAUCCGUCUGUCGAUCUCCGGCUCCCUUCUCCCAUCACUCGCGAACAAGACCCCGAGAUACUUGAUCUCCUCCACUUGGGGCAGGAACUCAUCCCCGACCCGGAGUGGGCACUCCACCCUUUUCCGGCUGAGAACCAUGGCCUCAGAUUUGGAGGUGCUGAUCCUCAUUCCCGCUAUCCCAAACCUAAACUAACAUAUAUACAAGACACAAACCACAGUGUCCUGGAUGGCUUGUAAUGUGUUUUUAUAGUUCAGACACACAGUGACAUUUGCUCUCUGCCACUUUGUACAAUCUCAGAGACGCCAGCAACUUUGACAAAUAGUUAGUAUUUAUUGCCAGUAGAAGGUGAAAGCUUGGUAGCAGCUGGUUAAAGAAAAUAUGAGAAGCAUGUUUAUCUCUACCUCUGAAAUCAAGAACUCAGUAAACAUUUUGAUGGUAAAUGCCAGUAUUGUUGCAAAUGUAAUGGGAACCACCAGUAACGUCACAACCGUAAGGAGGGCGGGGCCUAGCAACCAGUCAAAUAAAGUGUCAUGACCUCGAAUACAUUUUGCAGUUUCAUUACUUGAGCUUUUAAGGAGAACCAAUGAAAUGUUUUUCACAGUGUGUAAUUUCAAGUGUAUUGUACUGUAUAUCCGUUUUCUUAAUCCUACUAAUCAGACCUGGGUCAAAACAAGGUUCGAACAUCAAUCUCAUUUAUUACUCCUGUCAAAUUUAUGAAUGACUUAAUACAUAAAACCCUAAAUAUAUCCUAUAUUAUUGAAAGUGUAUGCUUUAGAAGUUUAGAAGUUGGAAUGGCAUCCAGAGGGUGGGAGAUGACCAAAUAAUGUUUGUAUCUGUAAAACAUCAAAAGUUCCAUUUAUUUAAAUACUGAAAGCUAACAUUAACCUAUGUGACCUGUGUGAUGACCCAGGUGUGAUGGUCAUUGGUAUACUGUAUAUUGCGAUGACUUUUUUGCAUACGACUGCACUGCCAAACACCUUCUCUUUCUCUCUGUCUGUCUUUUGUGCUCUUGUGGUAGUAGCACUCUAUCUCUGGAUGUCUCUUUCAGCAUGGGGGCCAGUUUACUUUAAGCGCCAUCACUACAGGAAGAUGAAUAUUACUAGAAAAUUGAAAUCAGUUCAGGCCCUUUGUCUGUAAUGAACAGUUUAUGAGUUCCUAGGGAUGCUGCCUGCAAAUCAACACCCUACAGCCUGUUUGAGAGUUUUUAUUAUUACAUCACUAUUAUGUAUUGUAGGUCAGUGUGUGACCCUUUUUUACAGCUUUCCACCAUCCAGUUUUUCCCUUUCAAAUCAAUUUAAAAGCACGUUGGAGCAUGGUUUGGUAUCUCGUUUAAUGACUGAAAGUUCCCAUUUAUCUCCUGCUAUCUGAUGGCACUUAGAUUUAAACUGGCUCCUAAACCUGACUCUCUUUUUUCUGCAUAUUUCUGGAAGUAUAGCUCAUAAGUGGGUCAGUGUGUAGUGAUGUGGUUGAAACUUGAUGAAGUAAGUCUUGUAAAUCAGUCAGUGAGACGUUUAUUCCGAAGUUUGUGAGUAUCCUCUUCACUCUGAGCAAAACGUGUCUGUAUUUGAUACCUGAAAAUGUAAGCACACAACCACUUUUGUCUCAAAGUCUAGUCACUCGUUUCUAAUAGCUUUUUAUAUAGCCAAAAAAAACCUGUCCCUUUGUUUAUCAAAGAACUUUAUCUUGAGAACUAUAUUAAAUUGCUAAAUGUACUAUUACAGUGGUGUUGAUGUAUUUUGUUUGUUUUUACAAUAGCUGUGAGUGCUGGGAGAGAUGUGAAAGCUAUAACAAAGCAACAAAGGCUGAAAGGUCCUGUCAUUUAAUGCGUAUAAGAUCAAAACACUGAAUCCCCAUAAAGCAACCUAAUACAUUCAGGAUAAGUAGUAUUAUAAAUUCCCCAGGGGCUUCAAGAGAGCCUUUUUUGACAGCUGAAUUAACAUUCUGUAAUAAUGCGUUCCCUUUAAAGUACAUAUUCUGACUCAGAGUAUUAACCAGCCAAAAGAAAAGCUUUUGAGUAAAAUAAACUUAUUUGCUUCCCUCAAGUUGCUCAGAAAAUAUACAUGCAUGAUAUGAGUUUUCAAAAAUAAAGCUCAAA